UCGUGGGGCAGCAUGACUGUAGCAAUACAGUUGAUGGCGACCGGCAAACGGGUGCGGAACACGUACACAACCUUCCUUUUAGUGGAGAAUAGCCCAGGGAAACUUGGAUUAAUACUCCGUAACAUAUAGAAGUGGCAUCACUUUUAUAUUAUAGCAGCAAUGCGCUAGAAGAUGGGUGUGCGGCUGAUUAGAUAGUUGGCGGGGUAACGGCCCACCAAGUCGACGAUCAGUAACUGGUGUGAGAGCACGACCAGUCACACGGGCACUGAGACACGGGCCCGACUCCUACGGGAGGCAGCAGUAAGGAAUAUUGGUCAAUGGACGCAAGUCUGAACCAGCCAUGCCGCGUGGAGGAUGAAGGUCCUCUGGAUUGUAAACUUCUUUUAUCUGGGAAGAAAUCCAUUUUUUCUAAAAUGGUUGACGGUACCAGAUGAAUAAGCACCGGCUAACUCCGUGCCAGCAGCCGCGGUAAUACGGAGGGUGCAAGCGUUAUCCGGAUUCACUGGGUUUAAAGGGUGCGUAGGUGGGCAAGUAAGUCAGUGGUGAAAUCUCCGGGCUUAACCCGGAAACUGCCAUUGAUACUAUUUGUCUUGAAUACUGUGGAGGUCAGCGGAAUAUGUCAUGUAGCGGUGAAAUGCUUAGAUAUGACAUAGAACACCAAUUGCGAAGGCAGCUGGCUACACAAAUAUUGACACUGAGGCACGAAAGCGUGGGGAUCAAACAGGAUUAGAUACCCUGGUAGUCCACGCCCUAAACUAUGGAUACUCGACAUUUGCGAUAAACUGCAGUGUCUGAGCGAAAGCAUUAAGUAU
This 812-nucleotide ribosomal RNA is filed under the name uncultured Sphingobacteriales cum 'Crenotrichaceae' bacterium. RNAcentral describes it as "bacterial SSU rRNA". It matches the Rfam family "Bacterial small subunit ribosomal RNA", at positions 62 to 867 of the family's 1533-position model. Lineage: Bacteria; Pseudomonadati; Bacteroidota; Sphingobacteriia; Sphingobacteriales. The record is from RNAcentral.